This 883-nucleotide ribosomal RNA is filed under the name uncultured fungus. Its description in RNAcentral is "bacterial SSU rRNA". The stretch from base 1 to 587 matches the Rfam family "Eukaryotic small subunit ribosomal RNA", at positions 530 to 1116 of the family's 1831-position model. The record is from RNAcentral. Lineage: Eukaryota; Fungi.
UCGUAUAGUGCGAUUGAUUUAGCGGCCGCCGUUCGCUCUUGUGCCAGCCGCCGCGUGAUUCCAGCUCCAAUAGCGUAUAUUAAAGUUGUUGCGGCUAACAAGCUCGCAGUUGAACCUUGGGCCUGGCUGGCCGGUCCGCCUCACCGCGUGCACUGUCCCGGCCGGGCCUUUCCCUCUGUGGAACCCCAUACCCUUCACUGGGCGUGGCGGGGAAACAGGACAUUUACUUUGAAAAAAUUAGAGUGCUCCAGGCAGGCCUAUGCUCGAAUACAUUAGCAUGGAAUAAUAAAAUAUGACGCGCGGUUCUAUUUUGUUGGUUUAUAGGACCGCCGUAAUGAUUAAUAGGGACAGUCCGGGGCAUCAGUAUUCAACUGUCAGAGGUGAAAUUCUUGGAUCAGUUGAAGACUAACUACUGCGAAAGCAUUUGCCAAGGAUGUUUUCAUUAAUCAGGUACGAAAGUUAGGGGAUCGAAGACGAUCAGAUACCGUCGUAGUCUUAACCAUAAACUAUGGCGGAGGAGGGGGGGGGACGGUGUUAUUCAUGACCCGUUCGGCAACAUAAAAGAAAUUUUGGUGCGUUGGUCUUCAAAAAAGAAGCGAAGCUGAGGUAGGGGGGCGCGGGCGGCCGCGAGUGUGUACUCUUGUUUUAAUUUGGCGCACACGGCACAAACUCACCAGUACAGACGACAACAGCGAUUGAUUGCUAUUCUCUCGUUGAUGUUGGGGAGGGCGAUGCAUGGCUCGUUCUUAGUUGUGUGUUAAUAGACUGAUUAUAGGAAUACGACGAAACCGUGACCCUGCCUCACUUGGCGCCCGAUGGUCCGUUCAGUCGUGGUUUGGUUAAGAGAACAUGACGAGAUCAAAGACGAGAAGAAAUUUUAGAU